RNAcentral lists this ribosomal RNA (390 nucleotides) under uncultured bacterium. Its description in RNAcentral is "bacterial SSU rRNA". It matches the Rfam family "Bacterial small subunit ribosomal RNA", at positions 28 to 425 of the family's 1533-position model. The record is from RNAcentral.
GAUGAACGCUAGCGGCGUGCUUAACACAUGCAAGUCGAGCGGAAAGGCCCUUCGGGGUACUCGAGCGGCGAACGGGUGAGUAACACGUGGGUAACCUGCCCUUCACACUGGGAUAACUCCGGGAAACCGGGGCUAAUACCGGAUACGACCACUUUAGGCAUCUUCGGUGGUGGAAAGUUUUUCGGUGGAGGAUGGACCCGCGGCCUAUCAGCUUGUUGGUGGGGUAAUGGCCUACCAAGGCAGUGACGGGUAGCCGGCCNGAGAGGGCGACCGGCCACACUGGGACUGAGACACGGCCCAGACUCCUACGGGAGGCAGCAGUGGGGAAUAUUGCGCAAUGGGCGGAAGCCUGACGCAGCGACGCCGCGUGAGGGAUGACGGCCUUGGUUG